This 20133-nucleotide long non-coding RNA is filed under the name Triticum aestivum (bread wheat). RNAcentral's name for it is "long non-coding RNA (TAES_LNC016693)". The stretch from base 2849 to 2983 matches the Rfam family "MIR1120/MIR1122 microRNA precursor family". Lineage: Eukaryota; Viridiplantae; Streptophyta; Magnoliopsida; Poales; Poaceae. The record is from RNAcentral.
CCCUGUCUCCUCUCCUCUCCUCUGGCGCCAACUUACACGCAAUACACCCGAGCUGGCGAACUCCCCUCCGAUUCGCCGAACCAUCCAUCGGGCACGCCCCGCUCAUUCCCAAACCCCUCACGCCCCGCUCAUUCCACUCACACAAACACAAGCUUCCAUCCAGUUUUCCCCUCAUCAACGUUCUUCUAGCUAGCUGGUUGAGUGAGCUUGCUUUCGGGAGCAAGAAAGACAUGGCUCGCAUGGCGGCGUCGGUGCUAGCGAUCUUGCUAGCCUCUUGUGCCCUGGCGGCGGCGAGCUUCGACAAGGAGUUCGACAUCACCUGGGGCGACGGGCGCGGCAAGAUUCCGAACAACGGCCAGCUCCUGACGCUGGGGCUGGACAAGGUGUCUGGCUCCGGGUUCCAGUCCAAGCACGAGUACCUGUUCGGCAAGAUCGACAUGCAGCUCAAGCUCGUCCCCGGCAACUCCGCCGGCACCGUCACCGCCUACUACGUAAGCGACCAACAUAUCCAUUCAUUCCUCUGCUUCUCUUUUAUUAGAUGACACGGUUGCCUAACUUGAUCGGUUUGCUGUGUAUGAAUGUGCAGCUGCCGUCGCAGGGUCCGACGCACGACGAGAUCGACUUCGAGUUCCUUGGCAACGUCACCGGCGAGCCGUACACGCUGCACACCAACGUGUUCACGCAGGGGCAGGGCCAGCGGGAGCAGCAGUUCCGCCUCUGGUUCGAUCCUACCAAUGACUUCCACACCUACUCCAUCCUCUGGAACCCCAAGCACAUCAUGUAAGUUGGUUCAUCGCCAUUGCCCAACCUUCGUUUCUCAUUCUGUGCUUUGUGCAGCGCUGACCGAUCCUGGUGUACUUCAAUGCAGCUUCAUGGUGGACGACAUGCCAAUCAGGGACUUCAAGAACCUUGAGGGAAAGGGCAUCGCCUUCCCCAAGAACCAGCCCAUGCGACUCUACUCCAGCCUCUGGAACGCCGACGACUGGGCCACGCAGGGCGGCCGCGUCAAGACGGACUGGUCCCACGCCCCAUUUUCCGCCUCCUACCGCGGAUUCAAGGCCGACGCGUGCGUGGUGACCGCGGGCGGCCGGCCUCACAGCGGCGCCAUUUUCGGCACGAAGGUCGCCCCCGGCACAGGCGCGGCGGGCGAGUGGUACAACCAGGAGCUGGAUCUGACGCGGCAGCAGCGAAUGCGGUGGGUGCAGAGCAACUACAUGAUCUACAACUACUGCACCGACCCCAAGCGCUUCGCCAAGGGCGUCCCCGCCGAAUGCUCCAUGUAGUCCACAUGUGGAAUCGCCGGAGGAAGACGACCGGAGAUGUGUAGUGUAGCCGCUGGUCAUUUACGCCCAGUUCAUGUAAUUGUGCUCACGCCCAACUCGUGUGUAAUAUAUUGUCUCCUCGUACGUUCAUUACCUGUAUGCUGUUCUCUGCUCACCUUUCAAAACUGAAAGUCUGAAACAUUCGGUUUGAUGAGAAGACCUAUCCACGAUUGGAUUGGCACACGAAAAUCAUUUUGUUCUGCCUUGGACCAUUGGGUACGGUGCAUGCAUCGCCACCUACGGUGCAUGUCCCGCUACCUAAGGUGACGGGAGAUCGGCCAGUGCAGGGCAUGGCGCACGGCCACUGACCGCAAGGCGACACGAAGCGCGAUAGAGGAAAGGACAAUGGCCUCCCUUCGUAAUGAUCCGUCAGGUCCCAGCUAGCUGCACCUGCGCGCCCUACGUACGUCUUCUUCACUGCCACACUGGCCGAUGGGGAAAUGCGUGUACGUUCGAAAUUGAUCAGGUUGCAGUCUUGCAGCUCUACAGUUGGGAAAUAUAUGGUGAUACCAUCACUCCAAAAAUUUAAGCUUAAAUGUUUCAAAAAAUUCCAAAAAAAUUAAGAAUGUUCACAACACAUAUAUCAACGACCCCUAAAAAUUUCAGACCCAAAUUCAUAUUGUAUAUUGAGAAAAAACAGAAAUUCAACACCAAUAGUUUCAAAAACGACAAAAACAUGAUUAGUGUCAAAAACUGCACUAUUCACAUCUGGUUUUGCCUUUUUUUUUCGCUUUGUGUACUUUAAAUUUAGAUAUGAAAUUUUUAGGGGCUAUAUACAUAUGUGUUGUGAACAUUCCUCUGUCGUUAUUGACACCAGUCCACACCGCCACCCGAAUGGUGGCCAUACAUGUCUCCUCCUCUUCGGCUCCCCGCUCCUCCCCCCUCUGUCUCCUCUUCUUCUCGAUCACCAUCGCUUGUAUGCUGCCGGGCGAAGCCCGGUCGACAUCGGCGGUUGUGGGUAAUUCCUCCCUCCCUUGUGCUUACCCGAUCGAUGUGACGUGGGCGGUUGUAGGUAUUUCCUCCCUCCCUUGUGCGGUAGGGGUGGCCCGGGACGGGCUGCCCGGCAAAUGCGUCAUGCUAGGUGUCGGGAUCCUAUGGUCCAAAUGGUAUAUAUCGAUAAGAAAUUUCCUUUACAGUACAAUCUUUCACUUUGGUCUAAAUUAAUUCCUUUGUUUCGGAAGAGCCCUAAACCAAUAGACCUCCUUUAAGUGACUAUCUGCGCGAUUGUAUGCAUGCCUCCAAAACGACACACUUUGUAAACAUGCACGCUUGAAGGGAGAUAGGAUUUUUUGUAAUCAUCUUAGUAUGACUGCUCAUCUUCGUUCAAUACUUCUCCGAUCGAGCCAUGUUUGGAUAAUGAUGCUUCAAAGAGUACGAUCUAUUGGUUCUUGCAUUAGGUAUACAUGUGAAGUUCAUAGAUAUGAUGGUUCUAUGUUUCGUCUGCACUCGCACUCGCAUGACUAGAUUACUUUACAUGAUAUUGGUAACACUACUUUCAUGAAGUUAGUCUAGAUAAAAUUUAUUAGACAAUACUCCCUCCGUCCGGAAAUACUUGUCAUCAAAAUGGAUAUAAGGGGAUGCAUCUAGACGUAUUUUAGUUCUAGAUACAUCUCUUUUUAUCCAUUUUGAUGACGAGUAUUUUCGGACGGAGGGAGUACUAAUUAUUUCAACAAGUCAUUAGUUCCGGUACCAUACAGAAUUUCACUCAUCAAUUGACCAAUUUAUCCAAAAGCGGGCAAUGUGUAUCGGAGAAGAGGAGCACCAAUUUUGCAAGAACGAGUAACGGUUAAAUUAGGGCGUGGCUACAUGGCAGUCGUCUGAAAAAAAAUUGAGGUCAAUCUAUUUUUUCAACCGCCCGAUGCGAAAUUAACAGCCCCGCUUUCUUCUUCAACCUCCCGCUUUCUUCUCUCUUCUCCACGCUGAACCACCCUGCCGCCGCAGGCCAAACUGCAUGUGAUCACCACCGCGCAGCCUUGCCAUUCGCCCUCCCCAGAACCAUCCCCUACCGCCGGUCUUGCCGCCGCCCCCGGCCAUCCCUCCAGCCCCGACACCGACGGAGAUUUUCUCUGGCGAAGUUGCACCACUGCCCCACCACCGCCGUUCUUCCACCCCCACCCCUUACCCUAAGAUAGAUAAUAGGGUAGCCCUCCGCCGAGCUCCUUUCUUCUCCUUCCUUCCCUCCGGCCUCCCUUCGGCGAACUCUCGAAAUCCACUGACCCCAACGACUCACAUUUUGCUAAUGUGAUUUAAUUACACCGCUCCAUUAUUGUUCCUCUUUUUUUAGGAAACUCCAUUAUUGUUCCCUAGUACACUUGCAUGGCAUGGUUGUUCUCCUCGAGGCUCAAACAGAUCCAUAACCGGUGGUCACUAACUCAUCCAAGAUCUUCCACAGCUGUUCACCAUAUUCUCUUAACUACCCUGUGAUUGCAAAUGAAAUGAUCAUAAUUAAAAGUAAGAGUCGGGGUGGGGAGAGUAGAGGAAAUACAUACACUCAUGCUGGUAAUUCCCGUCUCGCAUGCCCAGCCGCCUAGACGACGAUUACACUCACGGACCGGGUCGACGAUGACACACUCGUCGUGCAUGCCACAGCCGCCAGGACUGCCACCUCGGUCGCGUGGAUCUUUACACGAACCUGCCCCGGUACCACGCAUGGCCGGCGCAGGACAAUGCAUGUAAGUUUCAAGGUAACUGGAGACCGCUAUACCGAGCGAGUACGUGACACGGCUUGCUUGGGUUAUAGCACGGUUUGGACUGAUGAAUGAGUAUUGACUAGCCGGUUCCACUUUCAGCUUGUUCAGAUCUGUGACACUACGGGCACAGAGGAGGAAGGUUUGUUGUGCCUAUAUAAUUUGGGAGCUGGGGAUUCGGUGGCUCCGCGCGGUGUGCUAUGUAGAUGAAGGUGGCGAUGGUGAUUCGGUGGCUCCGCGCCUCGUUGGCCUGCCGUUGUUCCUUCGAUGAAGCUCCGUGCCCGCCUCGAUCUGCCACCGCCGCCAUAGGAUCUUUGCCCUCAUUCCUGGGCAAAAGGGGAUAAGGUCCCCUCUACUUUGGUGGUGAUAUGGUAUCUUGUGGAGCCAUGUGCUCCAGCAAAUCCUAUCCUUCGUUGGUGCUUGGUGUUGCCCAUUUUCGCCGUUCCUCGUGCUUCGGCGCCUUUAUCCGACAACUUUCAUGCGGCGAUAUGUCUUAGCGCAGCCGGCGACAGUGCUCGACGAGCACUGUUGAGCGACAAGUAAUUUCAAACGGAGAAGGAUGUCACAUGACUUUCAAUUUUUUUAUUAGUUUUGCUUACAAAAAAUUCAUUUCGUCUUCCACUAGCUAGCCCGGAUGCAUUUGGCUCACUGGAUGGUAAAGACAAUUUGGCUUGAUCUACUAUGCGACCGCGCCCUUGCCUCGAUGCCCGUGACCAAUGUUUGUUAUCAUGUGCACCCUUACUGGAGAGCACACCAUGUCCAUCAUCCACUGUGGCGGCGGCGCUGGCAUUUCAAAGAACGUAUAAUUCUAUUUCUCUUUGUUAACACAAAAAAAAUGAGGUCCUAGUAUUCUAGUUUCGCCCCAUGUCCCCAAAAUCUCAAGACUGGCCCUAGUGCUCGUGUGGACGACUACUCGUUCUUGUGGGGUUGCUCCUACUGCUUCUUCUUUGGCAACUUAGGCUCCAUUUGUCUGGGUUUUGGUGAACCACUCUGCUGGUCGCCGGUACAACAUCCUUCACUCUAGGGCCCUUUGCGGCGGCAAAGAUAGAUCAUGGUUUGGCCUCGGUUUGGCCCUUUGGGUGCAGUAAGCGACCGGAUCCAUGCUCGAUAUGUCGUCCUCGCUUGGCCUUAGUUUGGUUUGCGGUGUUGGUCAUAGCGGUGGUCGAUGACAAUGGCGCUUGUUCUUGCCGCUGCCUUCGAGUUAUUCUUCAUGUGCAUCUUGUAUCAUCCACUAAUCUGGCGCUCUUGUACUCCUGACCGAUUAAUGGCAUUGUUAAUGCAAAGCUGGGCUUUGGUCAUUCCUCUAAAAAAAUUAACAUUUUUAGUGGCCUAAUUCUUAGUCGAAUGAGAAUGAAUUAUUCGAUUAUACUCAUCGCCACAUUUCGAGCGUGCGACGACGCCCUUGCUCUGCCCUGGCAGAGCUGAAAGCAGGGCCCGGGUCGCCCACGCACCAUGACGAGAUCGAUCAUCGACCCGUCAGCGUCAGCGCCACCUAGAAGGCAAACUCGCCCGCGGGGAUCUGUGCACGAACAUUACUCCGGUGCCACCUACGUGCGCAUAGCCGGCGCAAGGCAAUGCAUGUGGUCUCUUGUAUAAACUGCUACAACGUGACACCGACACGUACGGUCGACUUGUUUGGGUUAUCACGGUUUUGGCCGAUGAGUGGCUAGCCGGCCGGUUCGAUCUUGUGCAGAUCUGCGGUAUUACUUUUACUGGCGUUCGCCUCAAAGGACGAAGGUCGUUGUGUCCAUAUAAAUAUAAUUUUUUUUUGAUGUCAACAUAUAAAUAUAAUUUGGGAGCCAGGUACAAUCAUAUCCGGCCGCUGAUGAUUAACAGCGAUUACGACUGCUGAUGAUUAACACGGCCCACGAAUGAAUGAACGUCGCCGGUGCACGCACGUACAUGCAUAAUGCAUUGCAUGGCCCCGGCUCGAGCCGGACGCGUACAAUUGAAGGCGUGCAGCGGAGCGCAUCCCAUGCGCCGGCAGGGGUCUAUGUCCCCAACGCCGGGCCUGCUUAAUGGCGAUCUAAAGAGCAGCCGUACGCGCCACCUUAGGUCCACUUGAAUUCGCCACACCGGCUCGAUCGACCCAUCCAGUCCAUGCGCCAACUCGCCCUUGGCCUCAGGCUUCCAUCUCUCUAGAUCUCCCUGGCUGCGCUGUGCCGAUCGAGCUAGCUGGCGCGCGUACGACGGAUCAAAUGAUUUCCAAGUUCCAACCCCACCCUUUCCAUGGGAAAAAGUCCAUUUUAAACCUUAAACUCGUAGAGGUUCGGCGAAACAAACCCUCAAGUCGAAAUCCCGGUCGAUUGCACCCUGAACUAUGCAAUCCCGGUCUAAACUGAACCCUGGAGUCGUUUGGCAAACCAGGAUCAACAACGUGUCACAGGAUGGCCGGGAUUGGUGCCAUUUCGCGGCACUGUUGGGCCGGCCCGCUUUAGUUUUCUUUUUCCUUCUUUUAAAACGUGCAGUUUUUUUAUUCUUUAAAACUGCAAAAAAAGAGAACGUAGGGUUACACGAACCCGUGACCUGCUGCUGUUAGUCGACGGAAGUAACCACCAGAACAGCACAUCAUUGUUCAAUUUCUCCCUGUUUCCUCUUUUUCUUCUUUCUUUUUCGGUUCUUUUUCUGUUCUUUUUAUUUAUAUUUUUCGUUUUUAAUUUUUUGUUAAAUUCGUGGACAUCUUAGUAGGGAAUACCAAACGAAAAAAAACCUCGUGAACCAAUUUUUCAAAAGGAAAAAGGCCGCGGUUUUUUUAUAAAAAUUUCAUGUAUUUAGAAAAAAUUCAAAUGUUUUGAAAAGAAGUUCACAAAUUUUCAAAAGAAAAGUUCUCAGAAUUUUGAAAGAAGUUGUAAAAAUGAAAAGAGUUCGUGGAUUUGAAAAAAGUCCACAGAUUCAAAAAAAAGUCCACGAGUUUUGUAAAAAAAUUCACGCAUUAGAUAAAAACGAAAAAAGCUAAGAAAUUGGAAUAAAUUAUUCAGAAGAGGAGAGGUGGUGUGGUUGGUAAGGACAGUUUUUUGCACCCUACGUUUUGUACGGAAGUUCACAAAUUUGGAUAAAUUUUCAUCAAAGUUAGAAAAAGUUCAUCAAAUUUGAAAAUAUGUUAGUCGACUUGAAAAGUUCAUCAAAUUUAGAAAAUUUUCAUUAUUUUGAAAAGUUCAUGAAUUCAAAAGAUUCGAAAAAAAGUUCACAGAAACAAAAAAAUUCAUAAACUCAAGAAAAGUUCACGAAAUUGAAAAAAGAAGAAAAACGGCCAAAAAAAGCAAACAAGCUGUAAUCUAGCACAAAAAAAUGAGCGUUGUUAAAAAUAAAAUAAAAGAAUAAAUUAUCACGAAGCGGAUGCUGUCCAUGGGGUACGUACGGGUCUACCACACCAGCUACUACGUGCGUGUGUAGGCCACAGAUCGCCAAAUAACUUGGCCUCACACGUCAGACACGUUACGUUUGCUAGGCUGUACACUAGCGUUGAGGAACGGGGCGAGGGUUCUGAAUAUCCAUCCGACGACGGUUUCCAUUACCGCGUCUCCUAUACGUACGUACAUGGUGCGUACUGUUCCGUGGGUUGGUGGGACUGGCCGGGCACUGCAGUUUGUUCCACGUCUGAGUUUGCACGGAGUAGAUGGAGUGGAUAUCCAUAGAGGACGGGCGUACAAAUGUACGAGCAUCAUCUCAUCUAGCUCGAGAGUUUUCUUUUAUUAAAAAAUACCAACAUGCUAAUCUAGCCCAGGUUGGUCUCACUUUUUUUUCAUCUAGCUCCAGAGCGCGGCCGCUUAGAUUAGAAAACGUAAAGCUUUUUUUUUUUGGCGAAUGAGAAAGGGUAAAUCUACUUUGAGUACAGGUAGUAUGUCAAAUGUCAAAGCCAGGACGCGGCGGAUCAGACAGCUGGGGUGGUCAUGCUGAAGAACAAUGCAUCGAGGCUGAUGUGUAUCUGUGCUGUGAGUCAAAGCGAGGGGGCACACUAAAGGAGAUGUCGUCCUCUUCCUCUCCCGCAAUGCUAGCCUAGUUCUACCCUCCUCCCCUGCGUGGGAACUUUAUCUUUUGAUGCUCAUAUGUGAGCGAUUCUCUGGUACUUCUGCUGAUAGGCUCUGUCGUAGACUGUUUUACUAAGUGUCGUCGGGUUUUCGCCCUGCAGUGGGUAAUCUUGAUGGCGAGUGCUCACAGUGGAUUUCCCGAUGAUGUUCGAACCCACUUUCCCCUCCUCCGUCUCAUUCUCUGGACUUUGUAUUUCCGUUAUGUCACAUUAAUGGAAAGGGGUUAUGCCCGGUUCCAUAAAAAAAAGUAUAGGCAGUUUGUGUGUAUUGGGGUGAUUGUUGAUGAUAGACAUGCAUAUCCUGCUCCUGGGUAUAGAUGCACUCCACUGAACCGUAAAAUCUUAAAAAAUGAUAUAAUUCUUUUUGUCAACAACCAUUGUUGAGGGAUUCACCCAUGUGCAACUUUUUGCGAGGAAAUUUCGUUCGUAAUACUUUGGGGAUAGAAUCUAUGCUCAAAAAGAUUGUUUUGAAAACAUUUUUGGAGCACUGGUCUUUGUAGAGAUUUUUUUUCCGUCACAUAAAUAUGCACAAAGGUUAAAAAUAAGCAAUAUUUGAUAACAAGAAAAAACUUCCUAACUUUUCUUGGAUUUUACUCUUCAUGCCAACAACAUAUAAGUUCGGUUAUAGAAAAACAAUUCCAGGUGAAUGCAGUAGAUGAUUAGUUUGCUUGUGUGGCCUGCAGGCCUUGCUGGAGUGAAAUGAUAAUUCUGUCCACAAUCAUGCCCCACCUAGUAGUACAACUAAACAUGACAUCUACAUAAUAAGGGCAUCUUUGAUUUGCAGGAUUUGAAAACAUAGGAAUAGGAAAGGUAUAGGAUUGAAGUGGCAUACCCACUGAAUCCUAUAGGAUUAGCAAGAAACGUUUGAUGCCAUAAGAAAAAGAUAGGAAUUAUAAAAAAAGUUGGAGUGGAUGUUAGUUUCCUAUAUAAAGUAUAGUACAAAAGAUUCAAUAGAAAAAUUCCUAUAUAAUUUUACGAGAUAUGUAACGUCCGAACGUUCAGAUCUUGGUAACUGCCCUUUUUUCGCUCUAUCUUGGGAAACUCCCGUGAUUUUCUCGCACGAGCAUUCGGUAACUGCCUUUUUUUGCUAUAUCUUUGGAACAAAAUUGCUAGACAUACAAAGACUUACACGUUUUUACACGCUCCUUCCAUCUAACAACCAAUCACAAACCUUCCCCCCCCCCUAAUUUUCAGGGGGGUGGGCCGCACCUAUUGAUCAAUCAAGGUUAACCAUCCUGUAAAAGCCUGUAAAUCGUUUGUACGUGUAGCAUUGCCGUCUUUGGAAACUCCCAUUUUUUCUCCCUAUAUUCGUUAACAAUCUUUUUUGCGAUCUAAAAAGUAAUUGAGCCCAGUUGCAAUCGAAGUUGGGUCUGCUAGCUUUUGUAUGAUGCCGAUGACCAACUUACCUGAUACCACUUUCAUGUCUUUUAAUUGGAAAACUUCCUAAAUGACCUUUUUUAAACCCCAUGGCAGCAAAAGAAAAGUUGUUUCUUUAUUGCUUGUUGGCCUUGUCUAGUACAUCAUUUCGUACUUGAUUAUACACUGUGGAAUUAGGCAUACAUACAAACAUUUUUGUUGGUAACUUUGACCCGAGGAAAAACAAGUUGUUGAAAGCAUGCCCCCCGGUAAGUUCUAUUUAAAUAUCAUGGUAUUUUACGCACCGCGGGCCUUGAUAACUUACGUAAAAACACUACGGUAACUUUGACUCGGGAUGAAAAUUUGUUAUGGAACAUCACACAGUACCCUGAUCCUGGUAACUUUGGCGCCGGGGGGAGGCAGGGGUGGUUGAUGAAAUAUCCCCUUGGUAACUUUUAUGUGAAUAACAUGGUAACCCACACAUCGCAGAUCUGAUAACUUAUGAACCUCGAUCCUAAUAACNNNNNNNNNNNNNNNNNNNNNNNNNNNNNNNNNNNNNNNNNNNNNNNNNNNNNNNNNNNNNNNNNNNNNNNNNNNNNNNNNNNNNNNNNNNNNNNNNNNNNNNNNNNNNNNNNNNNNNNNNNNNNNNNNNNNNNNNNNNNNNNNNNNNNNNNNNNNNNNNNNNNNNNNNNNNNNNNNNNNNNNNNNNNNNNNNNNNNNNNNNNNNNNNNNNNNNNNNNNNNNNNNNNNNNNNNNNNNNNNNNNNNNNNNNNNNNNNNNNNNNNNNNNNNNNNNNNNNNNNNNNNNNNNNNNNNNNNNNNNNNNNNNNNNNNNNNNNNNNNNNNNNNNNNNNNNNNNNNNNNNNNNNNNNNNNNNNNNNNNNNNNNNNNNNNNNNNNNNNNNNNNNNNNNNNNNNNNNNNNNNNNNNNNNNNNNNNNNNNNUAUGUGCCUCCGUCUUGGUGAGGGGGGUGAUAAAAUACACACACGGUAACUUUAAUGUUAAUAGCAUGGUAACUCACACAUCACAUACCUAAUAAGUUAUGUACCCUGGUCCUGGUAACUUUGGCACCGGGCCGGGGGGUGGGGGGGUGGGGCAGGGUGGUUGUUGAAAUAUCCCCUGGUAACUUUUAUGUGAAUAGCAUGGUAACUCACAUAUCGAAGACCUGAUAACUUAUGUACCUCGGUGCUGAUAAAUUUAGCAGGGGAGGGGUUGAUGAAAUAUCUCCCCGGUAGCUUUUUAUGUGAAUAGCUUGGUAACUCACACAUCAUAGACCUGAUAACUUAUGAGUCUCUGUCCUGAUAACUUUGGCGAGGGGGUUGUUUAAAAACAUACACUCAAAAACUUGCAUGUAAAUAGUUUGAUAUUAUAUUCAUCGUAUACGUGAUAACUCACGCACAAACACCACGGUAACUUUAACCCGAGCUGUUAAGAAGGUUAGAGAAACCAGGUUUAUGCACAACAUGGUAACAUAUGUAGCACAUAUGUGAUAACUUACUUGGCCUAGAAGUGGUAACUUUUGAUCUGACAAAAGUCGUCCGAACAUAUCAACAUGUGAUCUAGUUUUGAAACUCUUUUCAUGACGGAUAUUUUAUGUGAAAAUGAUUUUCCGAUCGGACCGGCGAUUUGAGCUAACAUUUGGAAGUUUUGAAAUAGGGGAAUAUCUAGGAUUGCAUCAGCUAUUGUGUCUUCUACUUCAUUUGCACGUGGAGAGAAGGUUGCAGGAUCAUUUUUAUGCCCGGUAAUUCCUAUAUAACAAGUUGUAACUUAGUUAUCACAGACGUGAUAACUUACUUAGCCUGGGCCUGGUAACUUUUGACCCUAAAAAGAGUCGUUGAAACAUAUCAAUAUGGGAUCUAGUUUUGAAGGUCUCAUCGCGAAAAAUCUUUUAUGUGAAAUCAUUUUUUCAAUCGGGUUGACGGUCUGAGCUACAAAACAUUUUGAAGUUUUGAAAUAUGGGGGAAUUUAGGAUGACAUCAGCUAUUAUGUCAUGUAGUUCAUUUGCACGUGGGGAGAAGGUUGGUUGAUAUUUUUAUGCCCCGGCAAUUUCUAUAUAAACAAGAUGAUAACUUAUGAACCAAAGACGUGAUAACUUACUUAGUGUGGGCGUGAUAACUUUUGACUCAAAAAAAAAAGUCAUCGGAACAUAUCAAUAUGGGAUCUAGUUUCGAAGGUCUCCUCGCGACGAAUAUUUUAUGUGAAAACGAUUUUUCAAUCGGAGCAACGGUUUGAACUAGAGAACAUUUUGAAGUUAAAAAAAGGAGGAAUCUAAGAUGACAUCAGAUUUUCGUUCUCUAGUGCAUGUAUGCAUGUAAUUAGAGGGAGUAGUGCACGUGAAAGAAAAAUUAGUCAUUCUAAUUCUUGUAUGCAUGUAAUUAGAGUGAAAUAAGGAUCGUUCUUGCCUAUUGCUAAAAUCCGAACAUUUGGUAUUUAUAAAAGUCCAUAAUUUUAUCCUAUGAAUCAGAGAACCAACAAAUGAAAAAUCCCUAAAAAUUUCAAUCCUCGAGAAAUCCAAUAGAGUUCCUUUGAAUCGAAAGAGCCCUAAGUUGUGAAAAUCAAGUCAAGUCAACAAAAUCUAGUCAUUUACUACGAAACAAAAGGAAUAGAAGACUAAAAGGGCUGUUUGAUUGGAGUCUACUGGUGCCACAUUUGUUUAGCGGCACUUGCGGCGCGCCACAUAGUGUGGCGCUGAAAACGAGCGCCACGGAGUGUGGCAAAAAAUCAACUACAAAAAACACUGCGUGUCCAUGGCAAGCCUAACUUUAGGAAGCAAUUCCGUUUUUAAAAAAAACUUUAGGAGGCAACCAAACGGCGGCCGAGGGAGCUGUGGCGCGCCGCACCUUUGGCGUGGCAAGGUGCGGCCGGCAACCAAACAGCCCCUUUGUUAUGCAGAAGUAGCGGAAUAGCAUCAGCAAUGAAAGCCCCGGUGUCAACACGAAUGAGUGCCGGUAGCAUACCAUCGCGAUGAUCCCGUAGAAUCGCAUCUUUUUUUGUUGUUGUUCAAUAACCGUAGAAUCUCAUGUUGGGACAAUUCGGAAAGAGAACCAACACGUCCACAGUUUUUGACAUACCGUAGGAAGAAGAAAAAGCUGACGAUCCAUCCCCUGCAUAUAUCGCUGCUUGGUCCUCCAUGCUUUCUCUCUCUCUCUCUAGUGACACAGGGCCAUCCCAAACGCCGUUGCAUCCAGAAAUCUGCUGCACGUCUCGAUCGGUUUUAAUGUGCUACUGUACGUACGCGAGCCUGUCUGCCUGUGGCAUCGCCGUGCCAACCCUCUCAUUGUCCAUCACAAGCUACGUACAGAGCCUGUCUCCUCUGGUCUGGCGCCAACUCACACGCACUACACUGACCGGGCUGGCAAAGUUCGCAGAACCAUCCAUCCAUUCGCCACGCCACGCUCGUCUCCAAACCCCUAUAUAAACCCCCUCACGCCCCGCCCAUUCCACUCACAGCUUCACACAAACACAAGCUUCCUUCCAUCGAGCCUUCUCCUCAUCAACCAAUUUUCUAGAAUCUCCAAUCCUAGGGCAUAUGAUCUUCUUUGUUGCGUAUGUACUGUCGGGCAAUUCGUUAUCCUUUGGAAGCUUCUUCUUUAAUAUUUUCAGUAGCUUCUCAAAUCCUUUGCCAGGCACAGCAUUCUCUGCCUUUCACUGCAGCAAUUCCAGUACGGUACCGAGCUUUGUGUUGCCAUCUUCGCAAUUGGGGUACAACCCUUUUUUGUGGUCCUCUAACAUGCGAUCGAACUUCAUCUUCUCCUUUUGACUUUCACAUUGCGUCCUUGCAUCGACAAUGACCCGACGGAGAUCAUCAUCAUCGGGCACAUCAUCUGGUUCCUCUUGAUCUUCAGUAGCUUCGCCCGUUGCAGCAUCAUCGUGCACAUCGUCUGGUUCCUCUUGAUAUUCAGUAGCAUCACCGUAUUCAGGGGGCACAUAGUUGUCAUCGUACACUUCUUCUUCGCCAUCUUCCAUGAUAACCCCUAUUUCUCCGUGCCUCGUCCAAACAUUAUAGUGUGGCAUGAAACCCUUGUAAAGCAGGUGGGUGUGGAGGAUUUUCCGGUCAGAGUAAGACUUCGUUUUUCCCGCAUAUAGGGCAUGGACAACACAUAAAACCAUUCUGCUUGUUUGCCUCAGCCACUUCGAGAAAAUCAUGCACGCCCUUAAUGUACUCGGAGGUGUGUCUUGAACCGUACAUCCAUUGCCGAUUCAUCUGCAUGCAUUAUAUAUAAUUAAGUGUGUCAAAAAUCAUUACAGAACAUCAUGAAUAGAUAAUUAAGUGACCAAAUUAAUGGAAGUUCAUCAUCACAUUAAAACCAAAGUACAUACAUAGUUCUCAUCUAACAACAUAAAGCUCUGUAGAGCAUCUAAAUUAAUUAAACCAUACACUGAAACUAUGUAAAACAUUUCAAUGCGAAAACAAAUGCGAUCAUAAUCGCAACCAAUGUAACAACUGAUCCAACGGCAUAAUGAUACCAAGCCUCAGUAUGAAUGGCAUAUUUUUUAAUCUUUCUAAUCUUCAAGCGCAUUGCAUCCAUCUUGAUCUUGUGAUCAUCGACGACAUCCGCAACAUGCAACUCCAAUAUCAUCUUCUCCUCCUCAAUUUUUCUAAUUUUUUCCUUCAACAAAUUGUUUUCUUCUUCAACUAAAUUUAACCUCUCGACAAUAGGAUCGGUUGGAAUUUCCGGUUCAACAACCUCCUAGAUAAAUAAAAUCUAUGUCACGUUGGUCGACAUAAUUGUCAUAAACAAUAAAUUAACCAAUAGUUAUGAAAAGAUAAUAUAUAUACCACAUCCGAAUCAUAGACAGGACGAGGGCCGACGGGGGCGGAUACCAAAACCAUCACACUAUAUAAGAUGCAAUAAUAAAAGUAAGAAAAUUAUACAAGUAUCUAUAUAAACAUACAAGAAUUUUUUUUUCCUUUCAGAAAGAAGAUAAGAACAAGAGGCUCACCACGGUGGUGCCGGCGACGAGAUCAGCGCGGGCGAUCGACGGCGGUGAAGACGGGGAUGGGACGUGACGGACCGCUAAACCUAGACAAAUAUUGAGGAAAAUGGAGCUUGGAGGUCAAGCUUGAAGAGGAGAAAGCUUAAGUAGUGUGGCUCGGGCAUUCCAUCGAACACCUAGUGUGCAUAGGAGGUGAGCUAGAGCACCACAAAGCUCUCCCCUCGCCGGCGACGAAAAACAGAGCAGUGGGAGUGCUCUGCUCGCGGGCGAGGGGUAUAUAUAGGCAACUAAUUGGUCCCGGUUCGUGGCCAGAACCGGGACUAAAGGGCAACCUUUGGUCCCGGUUCAAGCCAUCAACCGGGACCAAAGGGGGCGGGCCAGGAGCGAGGCCCAUUGGUCCCGGUUAGUCCCACCAACCGGGACCAAUAGGUCCAGCCGAACCGGGACCAAUGGCCCACAUGGCCCGGCCGGCCCCCGUGGCUCUCCAACCGGGUCCAAUGCCCCAUUGGUCCCAGUUCUGGAUUGAACUGGGACUAAUGGGCUGGCCCGGCCUGAACCAUUGCCUCCUUUUUUUAUUAGUGAUCUCGAAAUCCACUGACCCCAACGACUCACAUUUUGCUAAUGUGAUUAAAUUACACUGCUCCAUUAUUGUUCCUCUUUUUUUAGGAAACUCCAUUAUUUUUCCCUAGUACACUUGCACACUUGCAUGGCAUGGUUGUUCUCCUCGAGGCUCAAACAGAUUCAUAACCGGUGGUCACUAACUCAUCCAAGAUCUUCCACAGCUGUUCACCAUAUUCUCUUAACUACCCUGUGAUUGCAAAUGAAAUGAUCAUAAUUAAAAGUAAGAGUCGGGGUGGGGGGAGUAGAGGAAAUACAUACACUCAUGCUGGUAAUUCCCGUCUCGCAUGCCACAGCCGCCUAGACGACGAUGACACUCACGGACCGGGUCGACGAUGACACUCUCAUCGUGCAUGCCACAGCCGCCUAGACGGCCAGCUCGGCCGCGUGGAUUUUUACACGAACCAGCCCCGGUACCACGCAUGGCUGGCGCAGGACAAUGCAUGUAAGUUUCAUGGUAACUGGAGACCGCUAUACUGAGUGAGUACGUGACACGGCUUGUUGCUUGGGUUAUAGCACGGUUUGGACUGAUGAAUGAGUAUUGAGUAGCCGGUUCCACUUCCAGCUUGUGCAGAUCUGGGACACUACGGGCACAGAGGAGGAAGGUUGUUGUGCCCAUAUAAUUUGGGAGCUGGUAGCCUGGUACAAUUAUACGGCUGCUGAUGAUUAUCAGCAAUUACGGCUGCUGCUGCUGAUUGACACGGUGCAAGGCCCACGAAUGAAUGAACGUCGCCAUUGUGCACACACACGUACAUGCAUCGCGUUGCAUGGCCCCGGCCGGAGCCGGACGCGCUCAGUUAAGGCGUGCGGCGGAGCGCAUCCCAUGCGCUCGGCAGGGCCAGGUCUAGAUCCGAGAUCAAGUCCCCAACGCCAAGCUUGUUUAAUGGCGACUGAAGAAGCAGUCGUACGCGUCGUCUUUCAGCUCCACUUGAAUUCGCUACACCAGCCCGAUCGUUCUACUACUACAUGCUCGAAGUCGCCAUUGGCCUCUUGCCCUCUAGGUCUAGCUAGUAGCUACUAGUACCGUCUAGUUUGAUCUCCUUGGCUGUGCCGAUCGAGCUUAGCUGGCGCACGUACGGUCGAUCGAGUUGAUCUGCAACCCUCUUCAUGGCGUGCUACCAGCCACUGCGUGCGCGUGCCACAAAUAUUUUGGCCUCACACGGCAGGCACGUUAUGGAGUAGGCGGUACUGUAGUAACGCCGAGGAACGGGAGGGGAGUUUUGAAUGUUCGACAAGGGUCUGGAUUUUGUAAAUGUUCUUGCUCUGUGUAGGCGCCGUGGUGAUCUAGAGGACAAUACUGCGUCUCCCACAUGUCCGGCCUGUACUGCAAUUUGUUCCACGUCUGAUUUUGCACGGAUGAGGAGAUAUGAAUAGAUGACCCGCGUACAAAUGUGCGAGCGUCGCCUCGUCUAGCUCGAAAGCGUGGCCAAUUCCUCGGAGUACUCCGUCCCUACUCCCCAUAUUAGUUUUGUCUUACUUAUAUCAAAGUUUUUAAAGAUUGACCGAGUUUAUACUGAAAAAUAUCAAAACUCGCAGUAACAAAUCAAUAUCAUUUGAUCCAUCAUAGAAUAUAUAUUCAUAUAGUAUUUAUUUGGUAUUAUAAAUGUUUCUAUUUUUUCUAAAAACUUUGUCAAAGUUUACAACAUUUGACUUAAAACAAACCUAUAUGCGGAUUUACUUGUCGCUCAAACAGAUGUAUCUAGCACUAAAUUACGUCUAAUUUUUGGUGCAUUUUUUUUACUUGCAUGCAGUUUCCUUUGAAAAAUCUAUGCUGUACAAUUAGGUUUGGAACCGACUAAUAAUUAAGGAGUCCCCUGAAGUUCUAAUUGGGCCCGUCAAUGUUUUUACCGUGUCCAACAAAGAUAGCUCAGCUGCACGGUGAGAAACCAAGGAAGAAAGGAUGCGUACGUGGAGGUGCAGCUCGAUUGGAUGCGCACAGACGGUGAAUUGGUUCACGUACCUUGCUUGUACGUGGUUAACUUGCGUGUUUCUCUAGACUAAUGAAUAUUCACACUAGUGGAGCUAGCACAUGACAAUGAGAGCAAAGGAAAAACAAAGAUAAAAUAAUGUUUUGUAAGGAAAAAUGAAUCAUGAGAGUGGAUUAACGCUAAAUUAAAACACACAAAUUUGGAAAGGGAAAAAAUAUUAUGCAACUAUGUGUAACAUAACAUAACAUAAAAACUUCUAUAGUAAUAUACUAAAAUAAAAAUUAAAAUGGAGUUUUUUAAGAAAUAAUGAAUUAGUGACAUCCGUAUUACCAAAAAAAGAAGGGAAAAAUAAAUAAAUAAGUCAAAUUUUGCACACAAUUUACCCAUAAACUGCAUCUUUUAUAAUAUGCAAGAAUAAGCAUAAGGUAAUGGAAUUUUUUCAAAAAAAAAUUUCCAAGAAGAAAUAAAUUGGUGGCAUUAGUAUUACCCUUGCAAAGAAAGGAAAUGAAAUAAAAACUAAAAAAUCAAAAUAAUAAAGUUUUCUCAAAAAAAUAAAGAAUUAGUAGCUUUGGUAUUACCCUUUGAGAAGAAAGAAAAACUGACAAAAUUUGCACAUAAUUACUCCUAAUUUACGCUUUUUAUAAAAUAUGGAAGAACAAAAUUUGCACACAAUUUACAUGGAAAUUAUACAUUUUUUAUGAUAUGCAAAAAUAAGCAUACAAUAGUGGACUUUUUUUGCAAAAAAAAAAGAAUAAGGAAUGAACUAGUGGAAUUGGUUUUACCCUUCAAGAAGAAAGAAAUUGGGUAAAAAAUAAAAUAAAAUCAAUGUAGUAAGUUUUCUAAGUGAGAGUGAAUUAAUGUCAUUUGUACUUUCUAAAAUGCUAGAAUAUUCACAAAUAAGGAAUGAACUAGUGGAAUUGUAUUACCCUUAAAGAAGAAAUAAAAUGAAAUAAAAAAUACAAUUACUAUAAUUUACACACAUAUUGUGGCGCUCUUUGACUUUUUUGGUCUUUAUCGUACAACUUUGACUAUAAUUUUUAGUUAUUGUAUGUCCACUAAAUUUUUAUAAAUGUACAUUAAAUAAAAUUGUUUUACAGGAAAAAUACAACAUUGCCAGUUAUACAUAUUCAAUCCAUGAAAAGUUGUGCAUGAAAGACCGUGAAAAGUUAAGCGUGUGUUACAUUUUGGGAAAGAGGGGAGCACUUGUGUGCAUACUUGCACAUAUAAAAUAAGAACAAUAUGUUUUCCCUGAAAGAAUGAAUUACUGGCAUUAGUAUUACUCUUUAAGAAGAAAGAGAGAAAAAAAUAGUGAAUUAUUUCCACAUAACUUAUAUAUAAAUUGUGUUUUUAUGAUAUGCAGAACAAGCAUAUAAAAGUGUAAUUUUCGCAAAGAAAAAGUUUUUUUAGAAUGAAUGGAUUAGUGGCAUUGAUACUACCCUUAAAGUAGAAAGAAAAUGAAAUNNNNNNNNNNNNNNNNNNNNNNNNNNNNNNNNNNNNNNNNNNNNNNNNNNNNNNNNNNNNNNNNNNNNNNNNNNNNNNNNNNNNNNNNNNNNNNNNNNNNNNNNNNNNNNNNNNNNNNNNNNNNNNNNNNNNNNNNNNNNNNNNNNNNNNNNNNNNNNNNNNNNNNNNNNNNNNNNNNNNNNNNNNNNNNNNNNNNNNNNNNNNNNNNNNNNNNNNNNNNNNNNNNNNNNNNNNNNNNNNNNNNNNNNNNNNNNNNNNNNNNNNNNNNNNNNNNNNNNNNNNNNNNNNNNNNNNNNNNNNNNNNNNNNNNNNNNNNNNNNNNNNNNNNNNNNNNNNNNNNNNNNNNNNNNNNNNNNNNNNNNNNNNNNNNNNNNNNNNNNNNNNNNNNNNNNNNNNNNNNNNNNNNNNCUUAAAUUGUUUUUUAAUAUGCAAAGAAUAAGCAUAUAAUAGUGCAUUUUCGCAAACCAGUAAAAUUUACACACAUAUUAUAUAGUAUUUGUGCAUAUAAAUUUACACUCAUCUAACAUCCCAAAAAUACUAAUAAAGAAAAAAGAAAAACAAACCGAGGGUAAACGGACGAGCUAGUAGAGAGAUGGGUCGUUCACUGAGCUAAAAGAGAGGGAGAGAAGAAAAGGGUGAGUCACCUCAGUGGGCUAGAGAGAGGAGGGCACAUGAAUAAAGGGGUAAUGACCUUCCGCUCGUUAAGGAAGCGAUUGAUCCAAAAAAAAAGCCAUCAUUUAAAAAUAUUCAGCCCGAAAAAAGACAGCACCAAAAUAGGGGGAAAGAAGGAGCACGAAUCUUGAAGCAGCACAGACACAAAAAUCAACUGACCCAAAUCAAAUAUCAGGCACUUAUAUAUAUAGUUAAAGUGGCUUAAGUUUCUACACUUGAGAUUUUCUCAUGAAAGAGGCACUUGCAAAUAAACGCAAAAGGAUUGGAAGCGCCUGAGGAUGAAACCACCAUGUGUUGGUACCUAAAGAAUAGUCCAGACUGAAAAGGGAUUGUCAAGCCGUGACACGCAAUGACAGAACCAGCUCGUCCUCCACAGUUCCUGAAACUUCACAUACCGGAGGAAGAAGAAAAGGCUGAUCAUCCAUCCCCUGCUCAAGUGUCGUGUGCUAUGCCAUUUGCCUGCACAACACAGGGCCAUCUCAAACGCCAUGGCUGCAAAUUAGGAGAAGUUGCAUCCAGAAAUCUGCUGCACGUCUCGAUCGAUUUUAAUGUGUUACUGUAUGUACGCGAGCCUGUCUGCCUGUGGCAUCGCCGCGCCAACCUUCUCAUUGUCCAUCACGCGCUACGUACAGGGCCGUCCUGCCCGCCCUGUCUCCUCCCGUCUGGCGCCAACUCACACGCAUUACACUCACCGGGCUGGCAAAGUUCGCAGAACCAUCCAUCAGGCACGCCACGCUCAUCUCCAAACCUCUAUAUAAACCUCUCACGCCCUGCUCGUUCCACUCACACAAACACAAAGCUUAGAUCCAGCUUUCUCCUCCUCAUCAACCUUCUUCUAGCUAGCUAGCUACUCCAGUUGAGUGAGCUUACUUUCUGGAGCACGAAACGCAUGGCGGUGUCGGUGCUGGCGAUCCUGCUCGCCUCGUGUGCCCUGGCGGCGGCGAGCUUCGACAAGGAGUUCGACGUCACCUGGGGUGACGGGCGCGGCAAGAUCCUCAACAACGGCCAGCUCCUCACGCUGGGGCUCGAUAAGAUCUCCGGCUCCGGGUUCCAGUCCAAGCACGAGUACCUCUACGGCAAGAUCGACAUGCAGCUCAAGCUCGUCUCCGGCAACUCCGCCGGCACC